Solanum stenotomum is the source of this 105-nucleotide small nucleolar RNA. RefSeq annotates it as small nucleolar RNA Z103. The transcript has a single exon. NCBI's taxonomy places the organism in Eukaryota, Viridiplantae, Streptophyta, Magnoliopsida, Solanales, Solanaceae. The record is from RefSeq and is a predicted model, not a curated record.
AUAGAUGUGAUGAUCAUUUCCCCAGAUGAUCGAAGCUGAAAUUACUGAGCCUUUUACUAUAUUUCUCCUUAUAGGGGAUAAUCCAAGCAAGAUAUUCUGAUCCAU